Molecule: unclassified non-coding RNA, 321 nt
Filed under: soil metagenome
Description: partial contains 5.8S ribosomal RNA, internal transcribed spacer 2, and large subunit ribosomal RNA
Rfam family: 5.8S ribosomal RNA (bases 1-120)
Source: RNAcentral
GAUGAAGAACGUAGCGAAAUGCGAUAAGUAAUGCGAAUUGCAGAAUUCAGUGAGUCAUCGAAUCUUUGAACGCACAUUGCGCCCUGUGGUAUUCCGCAGGGCAUGCCUGUUCGAGCGUCAUUUCAACCCUCAAGCCCCGCUUGGUGUUGGGCCCCGCCCGCCGUGGCCGGCCCUAAAGACAGUGGCGGCGCCGCCUGGCCCUCAGCGUAGUACAGCUCUCGCUCCAGGGUCCGGCGGCCGCCUGCCAGAACCCCCCAACUCUGUGGUUGACCUCGGAUCAGGUAGGGAUACCCGCUGAACUUAAGCAUAUCAAGCGGAGGA